Molecule: unclassified non-coding RNA, 226 nt
Filed under: Hevea brasiliensis (rubber tree)
Lineage: Eukaryota; Viridiplantae; Streptophyta; Magnoliopsida; Malpighiales; Euphorbiaceae
Source: RNAcentral
AAAAUUAAGAAUGUUUUGGGAGUUAUUAUAGUAAUUUAGGUAAGAGAUAAUUAAAUAUGUUGAUAGUGGGUGUAUUAAGAAGUUUUAGAUUUUAGAUAUAUUUUGAAAAAAAUAUAAAUAGGAGGUAAUGAUUGAUAGGGUAUGGGAUUAUAGUAGAAAAGAUUUAAGGAAUAAUUUAGUAUUUUUUAUUCGAGUAAUUAAAAGGAUGGAGUUUUUUAGAAUGGGA